This 435-nucleotide ribosomal RNA is filed under the name uncultured bacterium. RNAcentral describes it as "partial 16S ribosomal RNA". It matches the Rfam family "Bacterial small subunit ribosomal RNA", at positions 29 to 507 of the family's 1533-position model. The record is from RNAcentral.
AACGAACGCUGGCGGCAUGCCUAACACAUGCAAGUCGAACGAUUGCCUUCGGGUGAUAGUGGCGCACGGGUGCGUAACGCGUGGGAAUCUGCCCUUAGGUUCGGAAUAACAGCUGGAAACGGCUGCUAAUACCGGAUGAUAUCACGAGAUCAAAGAUUUAUCGCCUGAGGAUGAGCCCGCGUUGGAUUAGGUAGUUGGUGGGGUAAAGGCCUACCAAGCCGACGAUCCAUAGCUGGUCUGAGAGGAUGAUCAGCCACACUGGGACUGAGACACGGCCCAGACUCCUACGGGAGGCAGCAGUGGGGAAUAUUGGACAAUGGGCGCAAGCCUGAUCCAGCAAUGCUGCGUGAGUGAUGAAGGCCCGAGGGUUGUAAAGCUCUUUUACCCGGGAAGAUAAUGACUGUACCGGGAGAAUAAGCCCCGGCUAACUCCGUG